GACGAACGCUGGCGGCGUGCUUAACACAUGCAAGUCGAACGGAAAGGCCCUGCUUUUGUGGGGUGCUCGAGUGGCGAACGGGUGAGUAACACGUGAGUAACCUGCCCUUGACUUUGGGAUAACUUCAGGAAACUGGGGCUAAUACCGGAUAGGAGCUCCUGCUGCAUGGUGGGGGUUGGAAAGUUUCGGCGGUUGGGGAUGGACUCGCGGCUUAUCAGCUUGUUGGUGGGGUAGAGGCUUACCAAGGCUUUGACGGGUAGCCGGCCUGAGAGGGUGACCGGCCACAUUGGGACUGAGAUACGGCCCAGACUCCUACGGGAGGCAGCAGUGGGGAAUAUUGCACAAUGGGCGGAAGCCUGAUGCAGCAACGCCGCGUGCGGGAUGACGGCCUUCGGGUUGUAAACCGCUUUCGCCUGUGACGAAGCGUGAGUGACGGUAAUGGGUAAAGAAGCACCGGCUAACUACGUG
This 468-nucleotide ribosomal RNA is filed under the name uncultured bacterium. RNAcentral's name for it is "partial 16S ribosomal RNA". It matches the Rfam family "Bacterial small subunit ribosomal RNA", at positions 28 to 507 of the family's 1533-position model. The record is from RNAcentral.